AUUUGUCUGGUUAAUUCCGAUAACGAACGAGACCUUAACCUGCUAACUAGAUUCUAUCAUCUUAUGAUAGUUAUCUUCUUAGAGGGACUAUGUAAAACAAAUACAUGGAAGUUUGAGGCAAUAACAGGUCAGUGAUGCCCUUGUAUGUCCUGGGCUGCACGCGUGCUACACUGAUGUAUACAGCAAGUGCCGAGCCAGACAUGGCAUGGCAAUCUCGAAUAUGCAUCGUGAUGGGGAUAGAUCUUUGCAAUUAUAGAUCUUGAACGAGGAAUUCCUAGUAAGUGCAAGUCAUCAUCUUGCAUUGAUUAUGUCCCUGCCCUUUGUACACACCGCCCGUCGCUCCUACCGAUACCGGGUGAUCCGGUGAACCUUUUGGACCCGCAUGGGGAAGAUAAGUAAACCAUAUCACCUAGAGGAAGGAGAAGUCGUAACAAGGUUUCCGUAGGUGAACCUGCRGAAGGAUCA
RNAcentral lists this ribosomal RNA (465 nucleotides) under uncultured ciliate. RNAcentral's name for it is "SSU rRNA". It matches the Rfam family "Eukaryotic small subunit ribosomal RNA". The record is from RNAcentral. Lineage: Eukaryota; Ciliophora.